GCCUGGGUGGCUCAGUCGGUUGAGUGUCUGACUUUGGCUCAGGUCAUGAUCUCACAGUUCAUGGGUGCAAACCCCGUGUCAGGCU
This 85-nucleotide transfer RNA is filed under the name Felis catus (domestic cat). It matches the Rfam family "tRNA". From Rfam's summary of the family: Transfer RNA (tRNA) molecules are approximately 80 nucleotides in length. Lineage: Eukaryota; Metazoa; Chordata; Mammalia; Carnivora; Felidae. The record is from Rfam by way of RNAcentral.